AUUAGCAAGAAAUUCCCACUAAAAGCCAUACACUUAGAUAUUCAAGUAACCAUUUUAUGAAAUGCAACCUGCUUUUGUAAUGAGUUUUGUCAAAACCUUGUUGACCCUAGUGAGAGUUGUAUCAUAGUCACAAGAUCAAGAUCACGUACACACCACAUAUAUAUAUGCUGCUUCUACACUGGAAGUACGCAACCACAUGUAUUGUGCAUCCACUAAAUAGGUUGCUCCAUACUCUAAGUGUUAGAACACCUCUCUAAAUAUUGUUUAGAAAAUGAGACAUAAAAGGGCUUGGCAAAAUAAAAGAAAAAGAAAAGAUGGACAUGUGCAAGUCCAUGAAAAAAAAAAAAUUUGAGCACAUAAAGCUCGAAGAAAAAGAAAAUCUAGCCAUGUCUCAAUAUACAAGUAGAGAGAGUGUAGUAAAUAAAGGAGCAACCUAGUCCACCAUAUAACACACUUGCACAUCUUGAUCUAUGACUAUGACACUCCUCUCUUUGGAUCCUUGUUUUUGACUUAACAAUAUUUGCAAAGUAGAGUAUGCUACCUUGUUUAUCCCUACCAAGCCCCAUAUAAGCCUAUAAUUAUAGGAUGAAACAAGUUGGCAUUCAUGCCUUGGUGAGGACUACUAAAAAACUUUGAGUGAUCUAGAGCGCUAAAUGAGGAGUAGGAUUGAACUAUGUGACUUAUUUUAAAAAGUGUCAUAAAAACUCUAAGUACCAAGAAUAUGAAAUUGGAAUUUGAUCUUGUUCUGAGAGUUGUUCCUUUUCUCAACCUCUGAAGGAUAUAUGCUAGACACUUACACAAAAACCCAUUUGGAUGAACUAUGUUCGAACUAGCAUUUUAUGCUCACUACUAUCUUAAGUUAGAAACCAUUGAUCACUCAUUUUUAACCUUUACUCGAGGACGAGCAAAGACUCAAGUGUGGGGGGUCUUGUUGACGGUAUUUAUACCAUGUUUUCUACUAUCAUAACUGUCAACAUAAGACUCAUUUUGGGAGAAAACAACCAAACAAAGUAGUAAUAUAGGUACAUAUAACCUAGUUCCACAUGUACAUGAUACUAUUUGGUUGCAGGAGUAAGAACAGGUACUUUUCAAGGGUCCAAACACUAAGAAGGGGUGAAUAACUAAAGAUCAGUGACACCAGUAACCAAGACAACAUUAUAGUCAUGAAGAGGAAGACAUGUAGGACAGGGUUGACACCCUAACCCCAUAGAAUUGGGGUCGGGCGACCCCACUUUGGUGGGUCCCACAGGUCAGCUCAACUCCACCGACAUCAGAGAGCCUCCAGGACACUGCAGGUGGGCCCAACCAGCCAGAUAGGGGGUCGGCCGACCCCACUUCAUGGCGGUUCCAGGGUCGGUUGGCCUCCCACCGACCUUGCCCACAUGUUGCACAUGUUAGUUUGCCUCUACCGUUGAUCAGAUGGC
RNAcentral lists this long non-coding RNA (1424 nucleotides) under Sorghum bicolor (sorghum). RNAcentral describes it as "long non-coding RNA (SBIC_LNC014585)". The record is from RNAcentral. Lineage: Eukaryota; Viridiplantae; Streptophyta; Magnoliopsida; Poales; Poaceae.